Molecule: long non-coding RNA, 613 nt
Filed under: Gopherus agassizii (Agassiz's desert tortoise)
Lineage: Eukaryota; Metazoa; Chordata; Testudines; Testudinidae
Description: lncRNA (ENSGAGG00000009574.1)
Rfam family: Rhabdomyosarcoma 2 associated transcript conserved region 6 (bases 495-613)
Source: RNAcentral
UUUGGUUUAGGUUCUCAGCCUAGAAGACACUAGGCUCUCUCUCUCUCUCUCACACACACGCGCACACACACACACACACACGUUUGCUGGUCUAUGCAGGCAGAUUAGUGUCACAGCUGUAACUGAGGCACAGAGCAAUAAACAUAGCAGAAGCAAUUUCCAUGGUGGCAAGAGAGGGCACGGGAGGUGACAACAAUGAGAAGGAUCUCUUCUUCUGACAAGUUUUAGGUGGAAUCAAAUCCAGUGUUGUUCUUCUUCAGCUGAAGAGUUUGUCAUUACCUUGGGAAAACAAAGUCUCCAUUGCAUGCUCAAUUCCCUAUGGAUAGCUGAGGAUUGCUGUAAUUUUGAAACCAGUGUUCCAAUCAAAGGACGAAUCUUUGACUGACCUCAUUGAGAUGAAUGAAGAAUAUGGCAGAUGAAAUGAGAAUGAGGGGAUUAUCCAUCUGAAAACUGAGGACAUCCAGUUAAAGCUCAUCUUAUUUUAAUCUUCAUGUGGAUGAUUGAUCAUACCCGCCAGCUGGCUAAUAUCAUAAUUAACAAAGUUGCUACCACGUCUGAGAAGUAUAAUCGAAAAAUUUACCAGCAGUGUGAUGCCAUUGUCACAAGAUCAUAA